This 253-nucleotide ribosomal RNA is filed under the name uncultured bacterium. RNAcentral describes it as "partial 16S ribosomal RNA". It matches the Rfam family "Bacterial small subunit ribosomal RNA", at positions 524 to 776 of the family's 1533-position model. The record is from RNAcentral.
UACAGGGGGUGCAAACGUUGCUCGGAAUCAUUGGGCGUAAAGCGCACGUAGGCGGUUCGUUAUGUCGGAUGUGAAAGCCCUUGGCUUAACCGAGGAAGUGCAUCCAAAACUGGCGAGCUAGAGUACGAAAGAGGAUCGCGGAAUUCCCGGUGUAGAGGUGAAAUUCGUAGAUAUCGGGAGGAACACCGGUGGCGAAGGCGGGUCUCUGGGCCGUUACUGACGCUGAGGAGCGAAAGCGUGGGGAGCGAACAGG